CCCUCCCUCCCUGUCUCUGCCCACCCCAUCUUCUGUACCUGGUGGUGUACUCUCUGCAGCUACGAGUGCAGGUCACACAGAGCAGCCUGUAUGCUGCUGUCUCAGGACAGUCAGUGGCCUCUCCUCUGCAGACACUUUCAGGCUAAAGUCCCAUUUCAGAGAAAAUAUAAAAUCUUCUGAGGGUAGUAUCAGCUCCAGGGGACAAAGAAAUAUGUCCCUUCUCUCUCCCACUUCAGAUGGGGGAGAAAAAAAUGUCACAGUACUAGAGCAACUUUCUCCAAAGAAAUCCUCUCUCUCUCUCUGGGCCUCCACCUGCUACCCUUGUAGACCUCCAGGUGGGCAUUGGGAGGAAGGUCCUGACACUGUUUGGGGACCCCUUAUUGCCAGCUUUGCCAGGCCUGGCACACAGCUUCCCCUCCCCUGCCCAGUUAUUAGAUAUCUGUUAUGUUCAUGAUCAAAAGCCCAAGUGUUCCGUUAUAACAUCCUGCUGUGGUCACUAGAGUCAUGUUCAGCUAGAAGGUAUCCUUCAUGAAAAGUUCACUAGUUUUGCCACACAUCACUGUCAUCUGACAGUGUCACUUCUAUCGUUUAGAUUACAAAUAAAAGAGAGAGACUGAGGUAAGAUGUCUUCCCCAGAUGUCUUCUAUUUGAAACUGGCGUCUUGGAUUGAGGCCAGGCUCCAGGACUGGGUGUUCUUCCCUCCUUGAGUUCCUCAUUUUCUCAGCCUCCUCCAUCUUUUCAUUAUUUCCCUUUGCCUUUUUUAAUUUUUGCCGUGAAUUUGGUCUCAGACAAGC
RNAcentral lists this long non-coding RNA (794 nucleotides) under Marmota monax (woodchuck). The record is from RNAcentral. Lineage: Eukaryota; Metazoa; Chordata; Mammalia; Rodentia; Sciuridae.